This 445-nucleotide ribosomal RNA is filed under the name uncultured bacterium. RNAcentral's name for it is "partial 16S ribosomal RNA". It matches the Rfam family "Bacterial small subunit ribosomal RNA", at positions 354 to 796 of the family's 1533-position model. The record is from RNAcentral.
GUGAGGAAUAUUGGUCAAUGGGCGGGAGCCUGAACCAGCCAAGUCGCGUGAAGGAAGAGGGAUCUAUGGUUCGUAAACUUCUUUUGCAGGGGAAUAAAGUGCAGGACGUGUCCUGUUUUGUAUGUACCCUGAGAAUAAGGAUCGGCUAACUCCGUGCCAGCAGCCGCGGUAAUACGGAGGAUCCGAGCGUUAUCCGGAUUUAUUGGGUUUAAAGGGUGCGUAGGUGGUUUGAUAAGUCAGCGGUGAAAGUUUGCAGCUUAACUGUAAAAAUGCCGUUGAAACUGUCGGACUUGAGUGUAAAUGAGGUAGGCGGAAUGCGUGGUGUAGCGGUGAAAUGCAUAGAUAUCACGCAGAACUCCGAUUGCGAAGGCAGCUUACUAAGCUACAACUGACACUGAAGCACGAAAGCGUGGGGAUCAAACAGGAUUAGAAACCCCAGUAGUCC